This 64-nucleotide transfer RNA is filed under the name Loxodonta africana (African savanna elephant). It matches the Rfam family "tRNA". Rfam says of the family: Transfer RNA (tRNA) molecules are approximately 80 nucleotides in length. Their secondary structure includes four short double-helical elements and three loops (D, anti-codon, and T loops). Lineage: Eukaryota; Metazoa; Chordata; Mammalia; Proboscidea; Elephantidae. The record is from Rfam by way of RNAcentral.
GAUGGCCCAGUGGUUAAAGCAUUCGGCUGCUAACCGAAAGGUCAGAGGUUCAAACCUAUCAUUG